UCAGGGUGUGCGUGCUCUGUGGAACUC
Molecule: non-coding RNA, 27 nt
Filed under: Homo sapiens (human)
Lineage: Eukaryota; Metazoa; Chordata; Mammalia; Primates; Hominidae
Source: RNAcentral